GUAUUGGUGGCUCAGUGGUAGAAUUCCCGCCUUCCAUGUGGGAGACCCUGGUUCAAUUCCAGCCAGUGCA
This 70-nucleotide transfer RNA is filed under the name Loxodonta africana (African savanna elephant). It matches the Rfam family "tRNA". Rfam says of the family: Transfer RNA (tRNA) molecules are approximately 80 nucleotides in length. Their secondary structure includes four short double-helical elements and three loops (D, anti-codon, and T loops). Lineage: Eukaryota; Metazoa; Chordata; Mammalia; Proboscidea; Elephantidae. The record is from Rfam by way of RNAcentral.